This 424-nucleotide ribosomal RNA is filed under the name uncultured bacterium. Its description in RNAcentral is "partial 16S ribosomal RNA". It matches the Rfam family "Bacterial small subunit ribosomal RNA", at positions 354 to 796 of the family's 1533-position model. The record is from RNAcentral.
GUGGGGAAUCUUGCGCAAUGGGCGAAAGCCUGACGCAGCCAUGCCGCGUGAAUGAUGAAGGUCUUAGGAUUGUAAAAUUCUUUCACCGGGGAAGAUAAUGACGGUACCCGGAGAAGAAGCCCCGGCUAACUUCGUGCCAGCAGCCGCGGUAAUACGAAGGGGGCUAGCGUUGCUCGGAAUUACUGGGCGUAAAGGGCGCGUAGGCGGACAUUUAAGUCAGAGGUGAAAGCCCAGGGCUCAACCUUGGAAUUGCCUUUGAUACUGGAUGACUUGAGUUCGGGAGAGGUGAGUGGAAUGCCGAGUGUAGAGGUGAAAUUCGUAGAUAUUCGGCGGAACACCAGUGGCGAAGGCGACUCACUGGCCCGAUACUGACGCUGAGGCGCGAAAGCGUGGGGAGCAAACAGGAUUAGAACCCGAGUAGUCC